GGACUGGAGAGAGGCAGUGCGCGGACGGCCUUGCGGACGGAAGACGUGGCCUCACGGAUGGGAGGCACGGCCACACGGGUGAAGCUGUGUUCUCACACCUCACUGGGGCAAUUAGGACCUUUGUCAGGGAGUUUUUUUUUGUUAGCCUAAGUCACGGUUGUGGGCUCUAUCUUUUUUCUUUUGGCGCUGAAAGCCUGCUUUUGGGUUUUGGUUUAGCGCCGGAUGUUUGGGCUGGCGGGAAUGGCAGCAAGUUUUGGCGCGUUGGAUUUUCUCCUUUAAUAUUCUUGUGUGUU
This 293-nucleotide long non-coding RNA is filed under the name Sorghum bicolor (sorghum). Its description in RNAcentral is "long non-coding RNA (SBIC_LNC014877)". Lineage: Eukaryota; Viridiplantae; Streptophyta; Magnoliopsida; Poales; Poaceae. The record is from RNAcentral.